UGGGGAAUCUUGCACAAUGGGGGCAACCCUGAUGCAGCGACGCCGCGUGAGCGAUGAAGCCCUUCGGGGCGUAAAGCUCUUUCGACCGGAACGAUAAUGACGGUACCGGGAGAAGAAGCUGCGGCUAACUACGUGCCAGCAGCCGCGGUAAUACGUAGGCAGCAAGCGUUGUUCGGAGUUACUGGGCGUAAAGAGUGCGUAGGCGGUUUUCUAAGUUCGGUGUGAAAUCUCCCGGCUUAACUGGGAGGGUGCGCCGAGGACUGGGAAGCUGGAGUGUGGGAAAGGCAGGCGGAAUUCCUGGUGUAGCGGUGAAAUGCGUAGAUAUCAGGAGGAACACCGGCGGUGUAGACGGCUUGCUAGACCAUAACUGGCGCUGAGGCACGAAAGCGUGGGUAGCAAAC
RNAcentral lists this ribosomal RNA (401 nucleotides) under uncultured bacterium. RNAcentral's name for it is "bacterial SSU rRNA". It matches the Rfam family "Bacterial small subunit ribosomal RNA", at positions 355 to 773 of the family's 1533-position model. The record is from RNAcentral.